RNAcentral lists this microRNA precursor (198 nucleotides) under Oryza glumipatula. RNAcentral's name for it is "MIR812 microRNA precursor family". It matches the Rfam family "MIR812 microRNA precursor family". Lineage: Eukaryota; Viridiplantae; Streptophyta; Magnoliopsida; Poales; Poaceae. The record is from Rfam by way of RNAcentral.
AAAAAGACAAACCCUGAGUUUUCGUGUCCAACGUUUGACUAUCCAUCUUAUAUAAUUUUUUUUGUUAUAAUUAGUAUUUUCAUUGUUGUUAAAUGAUAAAAUAUGAUUAAUACUUUAUGCGUGACUUAUCUUUUUAAUUUUUUUAAUAUAUAUUUUAAAUAAGAUGAAUAGUUAAACGUUGGACACGAAAAUCUAGAG